AUUGAACGCUGGCGGCAUGCCUUACACAUGCAAGUCGAACGGCAGCACGGGAGCUUGCUCCUGGUGGCGAGUGGCGAACGGGUGAGUAAUACAUCGGAACGUACCCUGAAGUGGGGGAUAACGUAGCGAAAGUUACGCUAAUACCGCAUAUUCUGUGAGCAGGAAAGCAGGGGAUCGCAAGACCUUGCGCUGAUUGAGCGGCCGAUAUCAGAUUAGCUAGUUGGUGAGGUAAAGGCUCACCAAGGCGACGAUCUGUAGCGGGUCUGAGAGGAUGAUCCGCCACACUGGAACUGAGACACGGUCCAGACUCCUACGGGAGGCAGCAGUGGGGAAUUUUGGACAAUGGGGGCAACCCUGAUCCAGCCAUGCCGCGUGAGUGAAGAAGGCCUUCGGGUUGUUAAAGGUACUACUUUCGUCCGUUCGUAGAACGGAAUGAUGACGGUAUCAGGAGAAGAAGACCCGG
This 463-nucleotide ribosomal RNA is filed under the name uncultured bacterium. RNAcentral describes it as "bacterial SSU rRNA". It matches the Rfam family "Bacterial small subunit ribosomal RNA", at positions 30 to 496 of the family's 1533-position model. The record is from RNAcentral.